UACGUAGGGUGCGAGCGUUGUCCGGAAUUACUGGGCGUAAAGAGCUCGUAGGUGGUUUGUCGCGUUGUUCGUGAAAACUCACAGCUCAACUGUGGGCGUGCGGGCGAUACGGGCAGACUGGAGUACUGCAGGGGAGACUGGAAUUCCUGGUGUAGCGGUGGAAUGCGCAGAUAUCAGGAGGAACACCGGUGGCGAAGGCGGGUCUCUGGACAGUUCCUGACACUGAGACACGAAGGCCAGGGGAGCAAACGGG
RNAcentral lists this ribosomal RNA (253 nucleotides) under uncultured bacterium. Its description in RNAcentral is "partial 16S ribosomal RNA". It matches the Rfam family "Bacterial small subunit ribosomal RNA", at positions 524 to 776 of the family's 1533-position model. The record is from RNAcentral.